Long non-coding RNA from Sceloporus undulatus (fence lizard), 1737 nucleotides. RefSeq lists it as uncharacterized. The transcript has 5 exons. The record is from RefSeq and is a predicted model, not a curated record. Lineage: Eukaryota; Metazoa; Chordata; Lepidosauria; Squamata; Phrynosomatidae.
UUGUUUUUCUCUUACAGCCACAGAGUUUGAUAGGUCAAGAACAGUUUAGGAAUAAAUAGAAAAUGGGGGACAUUGCCCUGCCUCCCCUUUGAAAGGCCUUCUGUGAAGAGACUGAGCAGAAGGCCUGAAGGGUGCCAUCCCAGCCCUCCUCCUUUUCCACAGGAUCAGUUCAGGAUCAGAGGAGGAGGAGGAAGAGUCCCUCAUGGAGAGGGAAGGAGGGACUUUGGGGCGCUCUAUGGGGCCCUUUCCAGCUCUAUGGGGGCACCCUUCCUCCUUUUUCCCUUGGACACAGCAUGAGGCUGCCAUCCUUGACGAUAGUAGCCUUAUGGUCCAUCAGAGGGGAAGGGUUUGGGAGAAAUGCCUGGGCCACUCACUGCCUUUCCGUGGGACUUAGAAUCAUGGAAGCAUAGGAUUAGAGGAGACUGCAAGGGCCUUCCAGUCCAAACCCCUGCCAUGCAGGAAUACACAAUCAAAGCACCCUCAACACAUGGCCAUCCAGCCUCUGUAUAAAGUCCUCCAAAAAGGAGUCUCCUCCACCUUCCAACGGAGUCUGUUACACUAUCGAACAGCUGCUACCUUUAGGAAGUUCUUCUAAUGUCCAGAUGGAAUCUCUCUUCCUGUAGUUUGAAUGCUCCAGGUCCUAGGCUCUGGAGCAGAAGAAAUCAAACUUGCUCCAUCCUCAAUAUGAUAGUCCUUCAAAUGUUUAAACACAGCUAUUAUAUCACCUCUUAACUUUCUUUUCCCAGGCUGAACAUACCCAGCUCCCUGAGUCUCUCCUCAUAAGGCAUGUUUCCAGACUCUUCGCCAUGCUCCAGUUUCCCCAGAUCCUUUUUGAAUUGUAAUGCCCAGAACUGGGCACAAUAUUCCAGGAAGGUGUCCCCAGUCUUUUGCCUUGAGGCAACAGGAAGAAGUGCCUCUUUGUUUUGGAACGUGUCUAUGAGCACCAGUCAAUGAUGGAAAAGCAAGACUCAUUUGGCCCUGAGUUAGGGAAAGGUCUUCCAUGUCUUUUAGAUGAAAGCAGUGGGGAAUAUUGCAGAGAAACUACACAGAAGAGCCUGACAGAAGAUAUGUCCCAUUCAGAGGUACAGCAUGAGCAUUUUAAGCAGUUCUUUUACAAGGAAGCCGACGCCCCCCGAGAAGUUUGAGGUCAACUCCAUGCUCUUUGCCAUCAUUGGCUGCAGCCAAAGAGACACACCAAAGCCCAGAUCCUGGACCUGGUGAUCCUUGAGCAGUUCCUGGCCAUCCUUCCCCCAGAGAUGGCAGCCUGGGUCAGGGAAUGUGGGGCAGAGACCAGUUUGUAGGCGGUGGCCCUGGCUGAAGGUUUCCUCCUGAGCCAGGCAGAGGAGAGGAAGCCAGGAAAAGCAACAGGAUCUCAUUGUAGAAGAGGCUGGUGAUCGUCCUGUGGCAGAGAAGGCUCUCUCAGACUCUGGAAAGACAGUGCAGUCCAAGUGGAUGGUAUAGCGAAAUGAGAGUAGCACCACCAUAAUGGGUGAGCUUUGAGGAGGUGGCUGUGUAUUUCAGUGAGGAGGAGUGGUGCUUUCUGGAUCCAGACCAAAGGGCCUUGCAUACGGAAGUCAUGGAGGAGAAUUUGGAGACGGUGGCUUCCUUGGGUGGUGAAAUAAUUGGAAGUGAAGACAGAAGUUAUUAUUAUUUAUUAUUAACCUUUAUUUAUAAAGCACUGUAAAUUUACACAGCGCUGUACAUACAAUCUUUUUAAUUGGACAGCUCCCUGCCCUC